Molecule: long non-coding RNA, 1423 nt
Organism: Manihot esculenta (cassava)
Lineage: Eukaryota; Viridiplantae; Streptophyta; Magnoliopsida; Malpighiales; Euphorbiaceae
Exons: 3
Source: RefSeq, a predicted model, not a curated record
UUCUACUUAAAUAAAAUAAUCAAACUUAUUUUGCCUUAGUCUCUCUAUUUCAAUCAAAGUUUCCUUUUGUAACAUUUAGGCUUGUGUACUUUUCUACAAUUGUCUACUCUUUUAAGGGUUCAGAGUUUUUGUUUCUCAGUUUUAUCUGCAGUGUAUGGAAUUGAAGUAAAGGUGCCAAAUUUAGACGAGAGUAAGCUAUGAUUAUACUGUGGCAAUUGCUUGUGUGAUCUUGGUGGGGCUUUCUGCACUCCAGUACUCUGGAACACAUAGAGUUGGAUUUCCUUUUACUUCAAUAUUGUUAGCUUGGCUAUCGUGUCUCGCUAGAGUUGACAUUUAUAACAUAUUCCAUUGGAACCCGGGUGUGAUCAGCGGUCUAUCUCCAUAUUAUAUCUGUAAUCUUUUCCAGAAAAAAGGAAAAAAGUGGAUGGAGUUCACCAUGAGGCAUUGUUCUCUGUGUUACAGCUGAUCUGCAGGCCCAGAAGCUAUGUUUAUUGACCUUGGCCAUUUCUCACAACUUUCUCUCAGGGUAAUCUAUUUCGACCUUCAAUUUACGUGUUUUACUCCUCAAUCAACGUUAAAGAAACAUUAAUGGGGAAUAAUGCAUCCCUUCUUCAAAUAGAUUGCAUUUACAGUCAUUGUGUUUCCAUGCUUGGUUCUGGCUUAUAUGGGUGAGGCCCCAUACCUAUCCAAGCACAAAGAUGAUCUUCAGAGAAGUUUGCAGCAAGGCUAUUCCAGGUAAUUAAGCUUGAACGGUAUCUCUAUAGACUGGAAACUGCAAGGAAAGUUUUACUUUUGAGAGAAUUGGUUGCCUAGAACAAAAAAUUGGAGCCUGAUGGAUUUCUUUUAGUAAGAUAAAUUUCAAAUUUUCUUACUUGUGCUCCAGACAUAAAUUUUGGCCAGUGUUUCUCAUUGCAACUCUAUUUAAUUUUGUGGCCAGUCUUUUGAGAGAAAUGCAUAUGAUUUGCAUUACAUCUCUCUCUCCCUUCCUAUUUUCUGUCAACAAAACCGGGAAUAACAAGAGUUUGCGUGGUUUACUCGGAUGUUACAAGUGGUGCAUCCUCAAUGUUGGCUCAUUUUUGUCACCAACUUUCCUGCAAUCCAUCAGAUUCUCAUAUUGAGUUUUUAAUGAUCCCAAAAGUUCCAAUUGCUGAAUGUUUCCAUAAUGUGAGGAUAGGACCUCCAGAAUUCCCUCUGUUCUGGUGCAUCGUUAGGUACUAUAGUCUUAUGUGAACGCCCUGGUCAGAUAUCAGAUAUGAGCACAAGGGAUGCGAAGGACAGCCGUGACUUGGAAACUCAUCCGAUGGAAAGCAUGUCAAUGUUCCUGAAUUGUAAGAGCAAACCAAAGAAAUGGCAAUAAUAGAGCCAAAUGAAACAGAUAAAGUCAGCGCUAAUGAGAUUAAUUUAUUAGUGAUUUUUCUACAAA